This 253-nucleotide ribosomal RNA is filed under the name uncultured bacterium. RNAcentral describes it as "partial 16S ribosomal RNA". It matches the Rfam family "Bacterial small subunit ribosomal RNA", at positions 524 to 776 of the family's 1533-position model. The record is from RNAcentral.
CACGUAGGGCGCGAGCGUUGUCCGGAAUUAUUGGGCGUAAAGAGCUCGUAGGCGGCCUGUUGCGUCCGCUGUGAAAGCCCGGGGCUUAACCCCGGGUCUGCAGUGGAUACGGGCAGGCUAGAGGUAGGUAGGGGAGAAUGGAAUUCCCGGUGUAGCGGUGAAAUGCGCAGAUAUCGGGAGGAACACCAGUGGCGAAGGCGAUCAUCUGGGGUUGUUCUGACACUGAGGAGCGAAAGCUAGGGGAGCAAACGGG